UGCAAGUCGAGCGGCAGCGGGAAAGUAGCUUGCUACUUUUGCCGGCGAGCGGCGGACGGGUGAGUAAUGCCUGGGGAUCUGCCCAGUCGAGGGGGAUAACUACUGGAAACGGUAGCUAAUACCGCAUACGCCCUACGGGGGAAAGCAGGGGACCUUCGGGCCUUGCGCGAUUGGAUGAACCCAGGUGGGAUUAGCUAGUUGGUGAGGUAACGGCUCACCAAGGCGACGAUCCCUAGCUGGUCUGAGAGGAUGAUCAGCCACACUGGAACUGAGACACGGUCCAGACUCCUACGGGAGGCAGCAGUGGGGAAUAUUGCACAAUGGGGGAAACCCUGAUGCAGCCAUGCCGCGUGUGUGAAGAAGGCCUUCGGGUUGUAAAGCACUUUCAGCGAGGAGGAAAGGUCAGUAGCUAAUAUCUGCUGGCUGUGACGUUACUCGC
RNAcentral lists this ribosomal RNA (439 nucleotides) under Aeromonas jandaei. RNAcentral describes it as "bacterial SSU rRNA". It matches the Rfam family "Bacterial small subunit ribosomal RNA", at positions 56 to 482 of the family's 1533-position model. Lineage: Bacteria; Pseudomonadati; Pseudomonadota; Gammaproteobacteria; Aeromonadales; Aeromonadaceae. The record is from RNAcentral.